UAAUUAUUUUCUUGGCCUGUGUUUCUGUUUCUAUUUUUUUCUUUUGGCACAUUUUUCAAUUAUUAUUUUGACUUAACUAAUCUUAUAUUAGUUUCUGUCUUUGAAAGGGAAAGAGUGGAGCAUAGAAAAAUUGGAUGGUGGCCUGCCUCACAAAGAAGAAGAGAAUAUAAUGCAACAAUCUGAAUACAGAGUAUCCACUAUGAAAACAGAUAUAAACAGCAAAAGUGAUGUACAGUUUGGCAGGAAUCAGUCAGUCUGUGGAUGUUGACUUCAUAACUCUCUACCAGACUGUACAGUGUAAGGAUGGAGAGCAGUAGUUGACAUGGAAUUCAGGAUAUAGAACAAUUUCCCUAUUUCCUACAUAUUUGAGAGCAGUCUGUUACCCAUGGAAGAGUCCAGUGAACCGAGUCCAGUGA
Saccostrea cuccullata (small rock oyster) is the source of this 416-nucleotide long non-coding RNA. RefSeq lists it as uncharacterized. NCBI's taxonomy places the organism in Eukaryota, Metazoa, Mollusca, Bivalvia, Ostreida, Ostreidae. The transcript is spliced from 3 exons. The record is from RefSeq and is a predicted model, not a curated record.